RNAcentral lists this ribosomal RNA (599 nucleotides) under uncultured bacterium. RNAcentral's name for it is "bacterial SSU rRNA". It matches the Rfam family "Bacterial small subunit ribosomal RNA", at positions 173 to 755 of the family's 1533-position model. The record is from RNAcentral.
AUGCAGCGGCACCUAAUGGUGACAGUUGUUAAAGCGGGGGAUCGCAAGACCUCGCGUCUGAAGAGGAGCCUGCGGCGGAUUAGCUAGUUGGUAAGGUAACGGCUUACCAAGGCGAUGAUCCGUAGCCGGCCUGAGAGGGCGGUCGGCCACACUGACACUGACAUACGGGUCAGACUCCUACGGGAGGCAGCAGUCGGGAAUUUUGGGCAAUGGGCGAAAGCCUGACCCAGCAACGCCGCGUGAAGGAUGAAAUCCCUCGGGAUGUAAACUUCGCAAGAACGGGAAGAAUAAGUAAGAGCUAACAUCUCUUACGAUGACGGUACUGUUUGUAAGCUCCGGCUAACUCCGUGCCAGCAGCCGCGGUAAUACGGGGGGAGCAAGCGUUGUUCGGAUUUACUGGGCGUAAAGGGCGCGUAGGCGGCCACCGCAAGUCGGUUGUGAAAUCUCCGGGCUUAACCCGGAAAGGUCAACUGAUACUGCGGGGCUAGAGUGCAGAAGGGGCAACUGGAAUUCUCGGUGUAGCGGUGAAAUGCGUAGAUAUCGAGAGGAACACCUGCGGCGAAGGCGGGUUGCUGGGCUGACACUGACGCUGAGGCGCG